Molecule: ribosomal RNA, 279 nt
Filed under: Triticum aestivum (bread wheat)
Lineage: Eukaryota; Viridiplantae; Streptophyta; Magnoliopsida; Poales; Poaceae
Description: partial small subunit ribosomal RNA
Source: RNAcentral
AUGGGUCUCAAGGAGGAGUUUGAGGAGCACGCGGAGAAGGCCAAGACGCUGCCCGACACCACCACCAACGAGAGCAAGCUCUGCCUCUACGGCCUCUACAAGCAGGCCACCGUCGGCCCCGUCAACACCGCCCGCCCCGGCGGCCUCUUCGAUAUGGCUGGCAAGGCCAAGUGGGAUGCUUGGAAGGCCGUCGAAGCCAAAUCCAAGGAGGAGGCCAUGGCGGACUACAUCACCAAGGUGAAGCAGCUGCUGGAGGAGGCUGCCGCCGCAUCCGCUUAA